This is a long non-coding RNA of Bos indicus x Bos taurus (hybrid cattle), 758 nucleotides long. Lineage: Eukaryota; Metazoa; Chordata; Mammalia; Artiodactyla; Bovidae. The record is from Ensembl.
ACUUUACAAUAUUGUGGUGGUUUUUGCCAUACAUUCACAUGAAUCAGCCAUGGGUGUACAUGUGUUCUUCCUAUCAGAAAGUCAUUUUACAGUAUUAAAACAGAAAAAAAAUAAUGGCACCUGAGAUAAUUCGUCCCACAACCACUCCCUAGUUUCCAUUAAGAUUCUGAAGUUAUUUAUUUUGCUCUCCAUUGGCACUAAUUUGGCAACCUUACUCUCUCCAUCUACUCAAUGUGCGAUCUCUGUGAGCAGUAAUUCAACAUACUUGCACUGACCAGAAAUAUGUGACUUUGCUGUGUGUUAAAAAUAGAUUCCCCUUGUGAGCACUUGUGACUUGUCUAGUUUACUCUAGUUUCCGACUCCUGACAUGUCUUGGAACAUUACCUCUGUCCUUCAUUGGAUUACAGGACCUAUUGAGAAAGUCAGCGGUCACGGGCGUGUACAUGACACAGGCACUUUGAACUCUGGAGCAACGGAUACUCCUGCAAGCUCCUGCUCCCCCAAACGAGAAUCCAGUCCAGAGGCGCAGUGGUCUGAGACCCGCACUGCCUGUGCUGAGAGCAGAGGUGGAGAGAAGGAGAAAAAAGGCUGGGCAUAACUGAGGUAAAAGGGGAGUGGAAGAGAGAGGAUGUGAAAGAGAUCACAAUCAAGGGAGAGAAAAAGGUGUGUGGAAACAGAUAUGAGUUCAGUGUUCCUCUUUGGGGGAAAAUAAGGAAAUCGAUUUAAAAAAAAGAAAAGAAAAAAUUUUCACUAGACCU